This is a non-coding RNA of Paramuricea clavata, 456 nucleotides long. NCBI's taxonomy places the organism in Eukaryota, Metazoa, Cnidaria, Anthozoa, Malacalcyonacea, Plexauridae. The record is from the annotation of a GenBank genome assembly.
CGGCGAUCGCAUUUCCGGAUGAAGGGUUUUUGUAGACGGAAAUUUCCAGCGGAAGAUUAUAUAGAAUGUUCAGACCAGCCUUUUGCAUUCCAUUAUGCAUAUAGUAUAGGUUUUGCAUAUAUUAUAGGUUUUGUAUAUAUUAUAGGUUUUGCAUAUAUUAUAGGUGGCGCCUGCGCAUUGCGCAAUCAAUGUCAAGGGGAUUCAAAGUCGGACAAAAAGACUUACGCCAUGUUGAAUCUGAAUCGUCCCCAGUCGUCUCACUGCGCGCGCUUUCCAAUUCGCACGUGCUCACAGAAACGACUGGGGACGAGUCAGAUGUUGAAUAGCAACGUUGCGGAGGUGACAUAAUUGUCACACGAAAACUACGUCGAAACAAUUUGGCCCGCGGGUCUGAAGUCAUCCCGCUCGCUAUUGUCAGCCCGGGAUGAAUGUAAACACAAAUACAUUUCAGAGCGG